Long non-coding RNA from Pseudophryne corroboree (corroboree frog), 1267 nucleotides. RefSeq lists it as uncharacterized. The transcript is spliced from 3 exons. The record is from RefSeq and is a predicted model, not a curated record. Lineage: Eukaryota; Metazoa; Chordata; Amphibia; Anura; Myobatrachidae.
CACUGUGUCUCUCCCUCCCAGCAGGCUCACUGGACAUGUGCAAGAUCUCCUGUGCAACCCGUAGCCGGCAGCCGCCACAGCCCGGGACAGUACUGUCUAUGCUGUGGAGCUAGGACAACGACACGUCCUGCAGCUGCCGAAAUCGAUAGCUGCAGGUGUUGGAAUGGUCAGUGCAGCUUUUAGAUAGCAGCGCUGAUAUGGACAGGGGCACAUAAUCAUUUUGUACGCACUGCUGCUGUCAUACAUGGGGAGAAGCGGUAUCAGCAUACAUAACGUGCACUGAUACCACCACUCCCCCAUAAUGAUAGAUAAUACAUCUACCCCAGAGUGCUUCCAGCAAUGCUACCUCGCCUCGGUUUAAUAGACAGCAGCAGAGUGUGAAUGCUGCAGAGACUCAGAGCCAUAGGAGCAUGCAUGCAGCAGGGGCUCCCAUGCGGUGCACAGGAUGAAGCUCAGCCCCACUCCCCGGCCCAGCAUCAUAGACAGCAGUACAGCCCACUGCAACAGCAGGCAGCAUAAGGCAGUUUCAUUGACUGCCAGGUUGCUUGUCCAGGAAAUCUGACAGCAGGGACUACCUGUGACGUGUGUGGACAACACAGCCUCCAGCUUGAAAUGAAACAGGCAUCUUCAGGGCCAUAUGAUCUACUGCAUGAAUAGUGAAUACCAACUGAAGACAAUAUCUGUCCAGGGAGGAUCAGUUUCUUCAGAGGUUCCCCAUUGCAGAGAAACCACUAUAUAGAUUUUUUUCAUAUUUGGUUCCCUGCUGUUAGGAGAUAUCUUCCAGUCCCCAAAAAAGAAAGAAGAACCACAUGCCUGGAGGGUUGUGGUUCUCCAUGCCGCAAUGAAGUGUGGUAUAUGAUGCCAGCAUCAAUUUCCACACUCCCACAUGUGGCUAAAUAUUUAAAAGUGCAAUAAAACAGCACACAAUUUUCCAGCAAGUCAUUCCUAUGGGAAAAGUAUGACAGUCGCAGAAAAACAAACUUAAAAAAAUAAAAAUAAAAUGUACAUGAAGCCAAAAUAUUAAUAACUCAUUUGAAUAAAUUUACAUAAAAUAAUCAAAUUAAGGAGUUUAAGCUGGCUUUGUAUUUACAUAGCUCUGGUAUAUACAAAUAUACAAUAUGUACAAAUGGACAGAGGAGUAAGGGUGAGGGGCUGCCAGAAAGGGGUUGUCCAUGACCGGGGUCUCUUCAUCAGGACUGUCAGCGCUGGUCAUUUAGUAAUAAAAUUCUUUGUCCACCCAACCUGCGAGAAAUUAUACAAAGAAUUG